GAUGAACGCUGGCGGCGUGCCUAAUACAUGCCAGUCGAGCGAACAGAUGAGGAGCUUGCUCCUCUGACGUUAGCGGCGGACGGGUGAGUAACACGUGGAUAACCUACCUAUAAGACUGGGAUAACUUCGGGAAACCGGAGCUAAUACCGGAUAAUAUAUUGAACCGCAUGGUUCAAUAGUGAAAGACGGUUUUGCUGUCACUUAUAGAUGGAUCCGCGCCGCAUUAGCUAGUUGGUAAGGUAACGGCUUACCAAGGCAACGAUGCGUAGCCGACCUGAGAGGGUGAUCGGCCACACUGGAACUGAGACACGGUCCAGACUCCUACGGGAGGCAGCAGUAGGGAAUCUUCCGCAAUGGGCGAAAGCCUGACGGAGCAACGCCGCGUGAGUGAUGAAGGUCUUCGGAUCGUAAAACUCUGUUAUUAGGGAAGAACAAAUGUGUAAGUAACUAUGCACGUCUUGACGGUACCUAAUCAGAAAGCCACGGCUAACUACG
RNAcentral lists this ribosomal RNA (495 nucleotides) under uncultured bacterium. Its description in RNAcentral is "partial 16S ribosomal RNA". It matches the Rfam family "Bacterial small subunit ribosomal RNA", at positions 28 to 505 of the family's 1533-position model. The record is from RNAcentral.